UAGUAUGGACAGUGGCAGUAUCGUAGCCAAUGAGGUUUAUCCGAGGCGCGAUUAUUGCUAAUUGAAAACUUUUGUGGGUUUUUAAAAAUCUGUUUUGAGCUAAAAUUGAUAAGCACUGUUUGAAUAAUGUACAACAAAUUGCUUUG
Artibeus jamaicensis (Jamaican fruit-eating bat) is the source of this 146-nucleotide small nuclear RNA. RefSeq annotates it as U4 spliceosomal RNA. Lineage: Eukaryota; Metazoa; Chordata; Mammalia; Chiroptera; Phyllostomidae. The transcript has a single exon. The record is from RefSeq and is a predicted model, not a curated record.